Molecule: unclassified non-coding RNA, 1562 nt
Filed under: Actinia tenebrosa (Australian red waratah sea anemone)
Lineage: Eukaryota; Metazoa; Cnidaria; Anthozoa; Actiniaria; Actiniidae
Description: coiled-coil domain-containing protein 112-like, transcript variant X1
Source: RNAcentral
AAAAUAAAAUGGCGGACGUAUGGACGUAUUCAUCAGGGGAGACUUUUAGCAAAAUGUCAUUCAAGUGCAUUUCCAUUUAUUAUUGCUAUUGUUUUUUUGUGUCUUUGGACUGACCUAAUAUGACAUAUGGCUACCUAUAAAAAGAAAAACGUCGAUGAGCAUAAAAAUAAAGUUGCUGUACAAGAAAAUCCGACUGAAAAGCAAGGAAAACAUGGCAGACCCAAAACAGAAAAUCGCAAGAGGAAUGAAUUUUUUGAACAAGUCGACUCUCUUAACCGCGAAUAUAAUUCCUUGGAGAAGGAAAGAAAUACUUUAAUGUUCAGUCGUCGCAGUGACUUCAGGAAAGAAUAUUGCAGCUUUGAAGAUUCAGAUGUAAAGUCUUUAAAUGAGAAAACAGCUGAAAAACAACACUUGAAGCAACAACUUGGCAAGAUAAGAGGGAGUGUGAGCAAGUUUCAAAGAGAGCUACUAGAUGUCAAGCCCUCACCUUCAUUUGUUCAAAAAUUAAAAGACAUGAUGGAGGAAAUUGAAAGUUCUAUUAUGGCAUUCAAAGAACAGCAGCAAAAAAUCUAUGACGGUUUGAUUCAAGAAGAAAAAUCAACUCAACAAGAGAUUACUGCAAUGGAAAAGAAAUUUGAUUCAUGGUGUCAAUUACCAGCUCCUUCAACAGUUGCUGCCAAUGUUAAGAGGACAACAAGCACUGUAACAGCAUCUCUACCACCUGCGGUAGCUGCAUUUGAGAAAUUCUUGGUACAAACAGGAGGGCACCAAGGUGGAUGGGAUGAUUAUGACAAUCAGCUAUUCCUAAAACUAAAGGCUAAGUACAAGAACAAUGAGACCUUUCUGCGGAUGGCAGGAUCAGCAAUUCCUGGGAAGAAUUUUGAUGAAGUCCGACAGCAUAAUGAAUGGUUUAUUCAAUACCUAGAGCUGAAGGAAAGCAAGAGGAAAGCUAUUCUUGAAUGGAAGCAAAAUAAAAAGGAAGAAAAAGAUGACUCGUUUAUGAAAACAGAAGAGACGGAAGAAGAUGAUCAGAUUAAAAAAAAGAAUGAAAAGCUAGAAAACGAACGUGCUGAACGUUUAUCUAAACUCGCUGAGUACAAAGCACAGAAAGAAUUAGAGAAGGCUAAAUUACAGGAACAACAAUUCCAAGAAGAAAUGAAUAAGAUGAAAGAAAGAGAGAAAGAAGAGAAAAAAAGACUGGAAUUGAAAGCACAAGUUGAAGAGUAUGCUCGCUGUCGAGCUGAAGAGGAAAAAGUUAUGCGAGAAGCAGAGGAGGCUAGGAAAGCACAACUAAGAAAGGAAAGUAAACCAAGCACCGAAGAAAUCAACCGGAUAAGAGAAAGAGUAAACUGUAUAACUCCUCAACCAACAUUCCUUUGUCCUUCUUAUUGUUUUCAUUCAGAAUACCAAAAUACUUAAAGAAAAACAAGCGGUGAUAAAAGCAAAAGAGGAAGAAAUCAAGGAAAAAGAAAGACGACUUCGAAAAUUGAAAAGUCAAGUGGAGGUGAAAGCGGAACGAGACCCAUCUCGUCUUUACAAACUAACACGUGGUUUAGAAGAAA